CGUUCGAUGUGUAUCUGUAGCGCAAUGGACUUCUAAUCCAUAGGUCGUGGGUUCGAAUCCCAUUUCGAAUGA
This is a non-coding RNA of Trichonephila inaurata madagascariensis, 72 nucleotides long. Lineage: Eukaryota; Metazoa; Arthropoda; Arachnida; Araneae; Nephilidae. The record is from the annotation of a GenBank genome assembly.